This 503-nucleotide small RNA is filed under the name Pongo abelii (Sumatran orangutan). RNAcentral's name for it is "processed transcript". The record is from RNAcentral. Lineage: Eukaryota; Metazoa; Chordata; Mammalia; Primates; Hominidae.
AGAAAAGCUGUCUGUGAAAUUAAAGGAAGAAGAACGAAUGGUUGAGAUGUUUCUGGAAUAUCAAAAUCAGAUCAGCAGGCAAAAUAAGCUCAUUCAAGAAAAAAAGGAUAACUUGUUAAAAUUGAUUGCUGAAGUAAAAGACAAAAAACAGGAAUUGGAAGUACUGACUGCAAAUAUCCAGGAUCUUAAGGAAGAAUAUUCUAGGAAGAAGGAAACUAUUUCUACUGCCAAUAAAGCGAAUGCAGAGAGGUUGAAAAGGCUGCAGAAAUCUGCAGACUUGUAUAAAGAUCGACUUGGACUAGAAAUUCGAAAAAUUUAUGGUGAGAAAUUGCAGUUUAUAUUCACUAAUAUUGACCCUAAGAAUCCUGAGAGCCCAUUUAUGUUUUCCUUGCAUCUCAAUGAAGCAAGGGACUAUGAAGAGAAGACAUACAAGAAAAAAAGGAGCAGAGGCUGAUGCCAAGAGAAAACUCUUCUCUUUUGGAACAAAGCACAUUCAUGUGCUA